CUAAGUUCUGCACAAAACCGUGCCCCCCACUGCAUUGUGCAAAGCCGCUCAGAGGCGUCCUUGAAAGAAUCUUGUGAAAAGAGAAUGGAGCUGAGGCUGUGAAACCAGACAGCACCCCCUCAAAACCAGAUUUUUGUGGCCCCAAACAAUUCUGUCUCUUUGUGUGGGAUAGCUAGUGGUUGGUGAGUCAUGUUACCAGGUGUAUUUAUAGACCAUGAAUUUGAAAUAAAUAAAUAAAAGCAGUUAUCGCCUCUUGAGAGUCUCAGAAUGAGCAAAAAGAAUAGCCAACGGAACAUCUGCAAGUCAGAACUCUUGCUAUUAUGAGAGAGCAGGCUGAACUCUACUGACCAGCCUAGGAUAAAAGAGUUCAUUCACAAGACAGGAGAUCGGCCUGAGUCCUCUGUGUAGCCCACAAGAUUAUUCACACAGCAGCUUGCGCCUGAGAAAUGAGGAACACAUGUAUUGUGGAAUCACUAGUGAUGGCUGCCAGGGAACAAGAUGCUCACAGAGUUUCAAAUUCUACGGAAUGGAUGAUAUAACUAUUACACAUGAAAAAAACUUGAAUCCAAGCAGAAGUUGAUUGAGACUCCAGUGACUUAAAAGAUCAUUCUUGGAAGUCUGACUGUAAUGUGGAUUGUCAUUCAUGACUCAACCUUCAAGGAUAUACUACAAUAAAAAGAAAAAUAUGAAGAAAGCUACUGGGAAAAUUUCAGCUGAAAAAACAUGAGCUGGACUUGAACUUAGGUUAACUUCACCUGCCCAGCAAACAAGGCCCAUCCUUUCUUAACUUCGACUUUCUAUGGACAAAUUUAUCUGCCUACUAGAUUACAGAGCACUGCAGGAACUUCUGAAACUACAAUUUGAAGUCUCAUCCAUGGAGUGGGCACACUGCCCAGGACCCUUUCUCAACUGGGACUCCAGACAGCGGUUAAUGAGGGACUUCCCAGCAUGCUGUUCAAGUCUAGAUGUUCGUCGGCCCAUUUGGUGAUACUGUGGCUCACCAGGCUCCACGGAAUUCUCCAGGCAAGAAUACUACAGUGAGUGGCCAUUCCUCUCUCCAAGGGAUCCUCCCAAACCAGGAUUGGACCUGGCAUAAUAUGAUAAGGGCAGGUACAGAACAGGGAUAUUGGUAAUGUGGAUGGAUGGCAGAAAGGUUGCUGAGGGGGAAAAGAGUGGAAAAUGAAGGAGAAGAAAAAGUUAGAGAUGACUUCUAGAACACUUACUCAAGAAAAUAAAUGAAAGAGACAGUCAUUUAGUUACCCAAACUGGAGAAAUGGUCCUCUAUGUCUUUUAAGCUCACAGAGUAAACAUUACCAUCUACUUGAUCUGGAUAUAGAGUUAGCCCAAGGUCCUAUAAAACCUAAAAUGUAAAAGGCCUGUUAUAAACAUGGGUAAUAACUCCCACAAGGAAGCAUGAAUAUGUGUUUUUUAUAAUAUAACAUAAUAGUUCUUAAAAUACCAUGGAAUAUAAAAAUUCCUUUAAAAUCCUUAGCAGUUUAUCUUUCCAUCUGCAAUAGUUGACUAUCAUCCCAUCUCUUUGAGAGUAUUACCUAUACAGUCAGUGACCUGGCUCCUCUACCCAACAGAACUCCCCCACAUACUAAGAAAUCUGAAACUGAUAGGCUGACAAUAUUCUGUCAAAUUUCAGGGCAUGUGAACAUAAAAACUCAUGUUCCUAUAAAAGAGCUGCAAUAAAGGCUUUACUGAAUCAUAUCAGGCUUUCGUUACUCACUGGAGUAACCUGUGAGUUGAAAACAAACAGCUUCUCAGCCCUACUUGCUCUGUUCUUGGCUCAUCAGAAGUGAAUGAGGAAAACCAGAGACUAUUUUUAAGAUGAUGGGAAGGUUACCAAGAACAUACAUUCUGAUGAAAUUCUCAAAGCAAGUUCACACUUUAGUUAGCAGUGUGUUUUGCCUUCAUCAAAGUUUUUGAUCACAAAUCAUAAAAAAUCUAUCCUAGAUACUGACACUAAAUAUGGGACAACCUUCUGUACUCCUUUUUCCAUGUCUUAAAGUCAUAUGGAUUAAAAGUGUUGAGAUAGACAUAUAUUUAAUGAAUUUGCCAGUUUCAUUCUGUGGAAGUAUCUUGAAAAGGGUCUUGAACUUCAUUGGAGAAGUUUGAAAAUAAUUAGCUUUUAAUUAUACUGCUCUUAAGAUAUAAGAAAUUUUGGACUUAAAUUCAAGCCUACUUAUAGGUUAAGUUAGAGUAAUAUACAGCAAUUUGGCAGGAGUCAAGAAAUCCUGAAUUACAAAUGGACAAGAAAGCAUGGGUAGGUCAUUGAUUACAAAAAUUCCUAAUUGGCAGAUAUGCAAAUCAAACAUUUCAUUUAUAGAAAUUAAUUUAUGCUUCACUACUUUUUAAAAAUUUUAGUUCCUCAGUAGUUCAGAGUAAUUUUUAUUUCUACAAGUCAAAUAAGUGUUGGUCACAGCAAACUUGAGGGUUUUUUUUUUUUUUAAUCAUCAUUGCACACUCAUCCCAAACUGGGAGUAUCUAGUGUGUCAGUAAUUCUGUAUGUGGACUCUUUCUAAUCAUAUCAUGAUUAUUCCUAU
Molecule: long non-coding RNA, 2549 nt
Organism: Capra hircus (goat)
Lineage: Eukaryota; Metazoa; Chordata; Mammalia; Artiodactyla; Bovidae
Source: Ensembl